GUGAGCACUUCACCCGGGAGGUUAUCCAGAGUAUCGUAUUUAUUUUUUUACCACUAGGAGAAAGAGUGCAUCUGACUAACCGGUCUAUUACUACUAACCUUUAGGCACAAAGAAUGUCUUUCGAUGUGAGUGAUAAAUAGAGAAGACUGCAACCGUAGUCUCCUUCUAACCUUGGUAAGGAUGAUCUACUGUUCUAAUGGGGAGGCUAACGAAAUCUAGACACCACAAAGGAUGUUCGACCCGUACCUAUAAACCCUAUCCUUCCUGCUAACGAGAUGUGAUCUACAAAGGUAGCUCGGAAAUGUCACGUUCCUCGCUACUACCACUGUCCAGCUAGUCAGGGAAUAUCUAUGAGUACCCCAGCCUAAACACCACGUUUACGCCAGCAAUGAUUACUCUAAACUCUACGCGAAGAGAUUAAAGUAAACUCAUAAACCAUAAGAACAAUAAAACAAGAACUUACUAGAAUUUAGAAGUCGAAUUACUAAAGAAUCCUAGGAGCAAGCUUCGGGUUAGGAGAACUUGAUCCCGCAGGUACAAGCUUGGAGUAGACACCGACAGGCCGGGCUUCCUCCACUCUUCACCUCCACUAUAUCUCUCUCAAUCUAGUAGAAACUAGAAGAUCUAUUUCUACCUUACAUUGAUUGCUAAGCCUAAAAAGAAAUAUUAAUUAGAGAAGAGGUUUUCCUUCGAGGGCACCCCUCAGUCUCUAUGAUAAUUUCUUCAUGUCUUAUCAAGGGGCCAGGGGCCUUGCUUAUAUAGUCCUCCCCUUCUAUGCGUUUUUGGGUCGAUAGGCGAGGUGGUACUAUAUUUUUCUUGAUCCAAUAGGUCGGUGGAAUAUCCCGAGCGAAAGAGUCCCGAUUUGGCUCCAACAGGGGGGCGGGCGCCCAGGCUACCAGGGCGGGCGCCCUGGGCCUGGCCCAGUUUCGCCUCCGCUUCGGUCUCGUGGCUUCUGGAGUCUUCUAGAUGAUGUAAAAUUACGCGGUGCGUUGAUAUCUCUAUGUAAUCCCGACAUGUGGGCCUUUCUUCCUUAUUUCCUGAUAACCCCCUGCAGAAACAGAUAAACAACAAAACUCGUGGAAUUCUGUCAGAUCAAAUCCUAAUUCUAGGUGAUGGUUGCAUAUUGGUCCUUUCUCUUGUUUAUUUGAUAAUUAAAAUUGAUACUUAAGAACUGUCAACAAAUACCCCCAUACUUAGGCUUUUACUCGUCCUCGAGAAAAGGAUGGUUAAGAUCAAUAUCUGGGGUAAACAUUUAAAUCAUUCUUUUUAUAAUUGCAGGGUGUCAAAAACCCACUGUGUACCAUAGUCAGGAAAGUUUAUGAUUAAGAGUAAAGAUCCUUUCUUCUCAAUCCUGUCACUUGGAGUUUUUGUAUAUUUUUGAAAGAAAGUUAGCAUACCUUUUUGAUCCUCAUAGGUUCUCUCAGAUCACUCAUUAUCUUUUAUAUAUAUAUCUCACUGAGGCUGUUUUAAUUUUGUAAAAAUUCCCAAGCAUUCUUACUUUGCAUUUAUUGCCUGAUCAAAACGGGAUCCGAGGAGGGGAAUGUCAUACUCUUAGAUCAAAGACUUUGGAAAUUAAAAACUUUGUCAACUCUUGCUGGCAUAUUGCUUAUUAGAGGGACCAUGGGCUAUCAUUUUUUUCUCUUUUCUCUUUUUUUAAGUGGAUACCGAGGUACCCCUAAUUCUACUGCCGAACACUUGUCCAUUUUUUCUGCGAGGUUGUCGAGCACUUGCUCCUUUUUAUUUCCUCGAAAUAUCUCUAUUUUUUCAUAGCCCAUGCCUCUAAUGCAAUAAUACUUCGGAAGAGUGAAUCUUACUGAAAUAAUGUCUUGAUCUUAGGAGCAUGAUAAAUCUCUCAACAAGGGUCUAACUCAUUUUGAACAAACUCAAUACAGAGCAGAUAGCUUUAUAAUCAUAAUUAAUAUUUUCAGUUUUAUCAGGCAUAUAAAACACUGAGGAUGGUAGCUAGAAUUUUGAAUAUUUUGAAAUAAAUUCUCCAAGCAACAAUGAUAUCAAGAAUAAGAAACUCAUACUCUACCAUCACAUAUUCCAUAUUGACUUAAGUAACACAGGGUUUUAAAAUGAUUUUAUAACAAUUGCAAGAUUUCAGGAAAUAUCACAGAUUGAGAUUAAUCAUGAUUAUAAAUAUUUUAAUCUUUUUUUUAUCAUGUCGGAAACAAUAAUCUGCAUAAUCCAAAAUAUAUAUAUGUGUAAAGUAAAGUGUGCAUAGUGUGUACCUGUGUGGUGGAGUGGUGUGUUUGGCAUGUCAAGGGAUCUCCCCCAUACUUGUUUUCUGCUUUCUUGCACAAAAAUAAAGUAGAGACACACAAGACAUAAUAAUAAUAAUAGUACUCUUUAUUGAUCUUGAGGCAUUUAUUACAAAAGACUGAUAGCAAAGUGAUAACAAACUGAUGAUAAUAGCAACUGUUGAUAAUAGCAAACUUAAACCGAAUUUAAAGAUAGAUGACUAAGAUGUAUUGCCUCAAGGUCUAAUCUAGAUAACUUAGCGGCGCUCUAAUUCCUUAAUCUUCUUGUUGGCACUAGCAAGAUCCUGCCUAAGGCCUAGUAUAAUGGUGUUGUGGUUAGAGAGCUGCCUAGUGAGGGAAUUAAUCGAGGACUGGAGGUCUAUGAUAAUUCUAUCUAGCCUGCGAACUUCCUCAUCAAUAUCCUUUAUAGUCUUGCGACGCUUGGGAGGUGUCUCAAAAGCAUUGAGAGCGUGCUUCGGGGCUGCCUUUGGAGGGAUGAAACGGAAUUUGGCUGCUCUAAUCCCUUCAAAGUAAGGCCUUUCCUCCUCCAUAGUGUAGCGUACGCUGCUGAUCUCGCUGCUCCGGUUGGUCUUGACUCCAACGACCCUCUCAUUGGGUCUAGGUGGAAGGAUCCUCGUGCCGAUUGGCACCUUGAUAGUGGUCUUCGUCUUGGAUGAUGAUCCUGUGAGGAGUAGGGGUUGUGGUGGUGCGGUGAGAACUAGUUGAGCAUGGUAAGAUUGGGUGGAGCUGCGUUGGCGUAAUGGCAUGGCUUCUAGCUGUCGCUCUGUGUUGGCCGGAACGAGAGCACGGGCAUCGGGGUCUUCCACAGGCUCUAUGUUGAGGUUGAAGGGGACGACUUCCCAAUCAUCGUGGUACUUCUCGGCCAUUGGAGCAGCAAGGAACUAAUAAAAUUUUAAUUGAAGUAGAGCUAAUCAAGCUCUAAUUGAAGGAGAGCUAAUCAAGCUCUAAUUGAAGGAGAGAAAGCUUGGUGUCUUGGUGUUUGAAAACUGAGGUCAGGGGUCUGUUUAUAUAGGGGUCAAAAGGGUGCCUCUAUGGGUUGUUCGGGUUUCUCCCGUCGACGUGCGUGCGAAACUUUCCAUCCGAGGGAUUAUUCAGAUCACCCUAAGUGCAUUUUCCAUAACAGAGAAAGUCGGGACCGAGGGGGAACAGGGGCUGGGCGCCCGCCCACUUGACCUGGGCGCCCGCCCUCCCUCUGGCCCCUCUGUGGGCCCACUUCUCCGAGCGUGUUUCUAGAUGCGGAAUUAUUUAGAAAAAUAUAUAUAUGACCCAAAACCAUCAGACCAAAAGUAUCGGGCUCUAAUUCUCCAUGGGAAGGUAAAAAUAGACUACGUCUAUUUCUUCAAAUUCCUCAUUGGGCUCUAAAAAUAAUUUAAGACGUUGACCAUUUACCUUGAAUAACGUACCUUCGCUAUUUUGAAGUAUGAUAGCUCCGUGCGAUGAUGAAUUGAUUACCUUGAAUGGCCCUUCCCAUUUGCUCCGGAGUUUUCCAUGCCCGAAAAGCUUCACCCUGGAAUUAAAAAGUAAUACCUUAUCUCCGGGAGUGAACUCCUUCUUCUUGAUUCUCUUGUCAUGCCACCUUUUGACUCUUUCUUUGUAGAUCUUUGAAUUGUGAUAUGCCUUCUCUCUCCAUUCUUCCAAUUCUAAUAGUUGCAUUCUUCUAUAAUAUCCAGCAACAUCUAGGUCCAUAUUCCAUCUCUUUAUGGCCCAGUGUGCUUUGAAUUCUAGUUCAACAGGUAGAUGGCAAGUCUUCCCAUACACCAAUUGGUAUGGAGACAUUCCGAUUGGGGUCUUGUAUGCUGUCCGGUACGCCCAGAGUGCAUCGGGUAGCUUGUCUUUCCAUGCCGUUCCCAUUUCAUUUACUGUCUUCUGAAGAAUAUUCUUGAUUUGUUUGUUGGAAGUCUCUGCUUGGCCACUUGUCUGAGGAUGAUAGGGGGUAGCGACGUUGUGACGGAUUCCAUGUCUUGAUAGAUAUUGCUUGAAGCAUUUGUCGAUGAAGUGUGCUCCUCCAUCACUUAUCACUACUCUGGGGACUCCAAAUCUUGGAAAUAUAAUUUCUUCAAACAUCCUCUUUGAACUGACGUUGUCGGCAUGCUUGCAAGGUAAUGCCUCUACCCACUUGGAGACAUAGUCAACUGCCACCAAGAUGUACUCACACUUCUUUGAUGGAGGAAAUGGACCCAUGUAGUCUAUUCCCCAGACAUCAAAGAGCUCAAUCUGAAGGUUGUUGGUGAGUGGCAUUGCAUCCCUUGUAUUUAUGUUUCCGUGCCUUUGACAUGGCCCACAUCUUCUGAUAUAUUGCUUCGUGUCUUCAUACAUUGUAGGUCAAUAGAAUCCACACUGCCAGAUCUUUGAAUGUGUACGAAAUGCUCCAUAGUGACCUCCAUAUGGUGAUGAAUGACAUCUGUCGAUGAUCUUCCAUCCUUCCUCAGUGGUCACACAUCUCCUGAGUAAGCCAUCAGAGCAUACUCGGAAGAGGUAUGGCUCAUCCCAUAUAUGUGAACGACUUUCUUGAAUAAGCUUCUUCUUGUUUGCUCCUGGUGGUACAUACCUUGAAACUAUAAAAUUAACAAUAUCUGCAUACCAGGGGUCAGACCUGUUAAUCCCGUAGAGCAUGUCGUCCCGGAGUGAAUCGUUGAUGGGGGUUUCCUGUGGAUUCUUAAAAUACAUUCUAGACAAGUGAUCAGCAACAAAAUUUUCUACUCCUUUUUUAUCUUUUAUUUCUAAGUCAAAUUCUUGGAGUAAUAAGAUCCAUCUAAUCAGGCGAGGUUUAGCAUCUUUUUUAGUGAGCAAAUAUUUUAGUGCAGCAUGAUCAGUGUAAACAAUUAUUUUAGCUCCAACUAAAUAAGAUCUAAAUUUAUCUAUGGCAAAGACAACAGCCAGAAGCUCUUUUUCAGUGGUUGCAUAAUUAAGUUGAGCUCCUGUCAAAGUUUUACUGGCAUAAGCAAUUGCAUGAUGCUUCUUGUCUUUAGUUUGUCCCAAUACUGCCCCCACAGCAUAAUCACUAGCAUCACACAUAAUUUCAAAAGGCAACGACCAAUCAGGGGGUUGAAUGAUUGGUGCAGAGAUGAGUGCUUUCUUUAAUAAAUUGAAAGAUGUUAGACAUGCAUCAUCAAAUUCGAAAGGAGCAUCCUUGGCUAGCAAAAGGGUAAGUGGUCUAGCAAUAAAUGAAAAAUCUUUUAUGAAUCUACGAUAAAAACCAGCAUGGCCAAGAAAGCUUCGAAUUCCUUUUAUAUUCACAGGUGGAGGUAGUUGUUCAAUUACUUCAAUUUUAGCUUUGUCUACCUCAAUCCCUCUUUCAGACACUAAGUGUCCUAGCACUAUUCCUUCCCUAACCAUAAAAUGACAUUUUUCCCAAUUAAGGAUUAAGUGCUUUUCUUCACAUCUUUGCAAAACCUUGUCUAAGUUUUCAAGACAACUAUCAAAAGUUUUUCCAUAAACAGAGAAAUCAUCCAUGAAAACUUCCAUAAUGUCUUCAAUCAUAUCAGAAAAUAUAGACAUCAUGCAUCUUUGAAAAGAAGCUGGUGCAUUACAUAACCUAAAAGACAUUCUACGGUAAGCAUAAGUUCCAUAAGGGCAUGUAAAAGUGGUUUUGCUUUGAUCAUCAGGAUGGAUCGGGAUUUGGUGAUACCCUGAAUAUCCAUCUAAGAAACAAAAGAACGAAUGGUUUGCUAACCGCUCUAGCAUCUCAUCUAUAAAAGGUAAAGGAAAGUGAUCCUUUCUCGUGGCUUUGUUUAGUUUUCUAUAGUCUAUGCACAUCCGCCAUCCUGUGACGGUGCGUUGCGGAAUUCGCUCGUUCUUUUCAUUCAUAAUAACUGUCAUGCCUCCCUUUUUGGGCACAGCUUGCACUGGGCUCACCCACUCACUGUGCGGCACAGGAUAUAUAAUCUCUGCAUGCAACAACUUUAUAACUUCCUUUUUAACUACCUCUCUCAUAGUGUUGUUAAGUCUACGUUGGGGUUCUCGAGAGGGUGUAACAGAAGGAUCUGUUGGAAUACGAUGGGUACAAAUCAUAGGACUGAUUCCUGUAAGAUCUUGAAGUGAGUAGCCGAAAACUGAGUGAUGUUUCUCAAGAAUGGUCAUUAAUCGCAGAGUUUGAUCCUGAGUGAGUUUAUCGCUAAUGAUCACAGGGAACUCUGGAUUAUUGUUUAGGAAAGCAUAGGUAAGACCGGGUGGUAAAGUUUUAAGCUCUAUGGGAGGUCUAGGUGUUUCUGCAAACUCAUCUAAGGGUUCAGGCUUGGAAGGUUCGUCUUCUUCUUCUGGUUCAUCUAAAAGCUCUAGAGAUGCAGCCUUUACUUCCUCCAUAGGAUCAGGCAAAAAAUAUGACUCGGCCUUAUUGUUUAAGGAGUGUGAAAUUGUUAUCGGGAAUUUAAAGGUUUUUCCAAAAGAAAUGUGUAGCUUUCCAGUAUGACCUUCAUAAAGGAGUCUUCUAAAAGGUUGUCCUAUCAAUAGGUCGAAGUCCCAUGUAUCAAAGAUAUAGAAGUUCAAAUGAACCAUGGAGCCUUCUACUGUAAGAGGUAGGAUAUUAAUAAUUCCAAGACUGGGGACUAAUCGUCCCAAAGAUUCCUUUAUGACCUUUGUUGUGGGAGUUAAGAUAAGAUUUUUAAAUAGUUUAAGUGCAAAGGAUUCAGACAUAAUAUUGAUCCCCACAACAGGAUUAUAAAGAGCAUUAAAUCGAUCCGAAUUAUAAGCACAGCGUAUAGUUAUAGAGGGUGUGUCCAAACGGAUCACAUCAGAGGAAAGCUCUGAUUCCUCCAACCAUUCGCUACUCAUUACUGAGAUAAGCUCUCUCAAUUGAUAUUCACUUGGUAAAUAAAUGCUAAACAGCCGUUUUGGGGUUUGUCAAUAGAAUGGUAGUUUGAAAUAUUUCCAAAAUCGGCAAAAAGAUCGGAUUCUAUAUCCAGCAUGAAGUCCGGUAGUGGAAUUUCUUUCUCUUGUGGCUCAGAACUUGGGAUAGCUAAAGUAGAUGAAGAAUUUGGCAGAGUGUCUACUUCGGCUUCGUAGGUUUCAUCAUGAAGGGUAUUAUCCAUCUCAGCUUCUAGGAUUCUAUCUAAGAUCACUCUAGCUUCAUCAGCAGGGAUGCGAAAGAAAGAACCUCUAGACAUUGUGUGCAGCAUUUGUUUGUGAUUUUUAUUAAGACCUCGAAAAAAGUGAAAUAAAAGAACAGGGUCUUCAAGAUUAAGGUUUGGACUAGAUUCUAAAAGAUCAGAAAAACGUUUCCAGGAUUUUCCCAAAGUUUCAUUAUCUUUUUGUUUAAAAGAUAGGACUUCGAGUCUAAGGUCGGCUAUACGGUCAAGGGAAUAGAAAUCUAGACAAAAGUUGGCUCGUAAAACUCCCCAUUCACCUUGUUGUUGACUUACCUUCUGACUGUACCAUUGUCUAGCUUCUCCCCUUAAAGAAAAAGGAAAAAGCUUCCAACGUAAAGUCUUAUCAGAAAUGCCUUCAAUGCGAAGACAAUCACAUGUUUGCUCAAAAUCUCUAAUAUGAAGGUAAGGGUUUUCGUCUUCCUUUCCCAAAAAGAUAGGUUUUGAAUCAUGGAAAUCAACCUAGAACUUAACUUAUACUGGGAUGUUUGGAUAGGCUGUGAUGAUUCCCAUGGUAAAAGGUCAGUUGCUAAAGGGAUUGCAGACUCAUGGAUCGAUUUAGAAUUUUGGUUUUCUAUAAGGUAAGAAUAAAGAAAAUAAGUAAUAUAAAAGAUAAGAAAAGAUAAAAGUAUAGAUACAAGCUAAUAGCAAGACACAGGUUAUCUCAGCAACCGUCUUUCUCCCCGGCAACGGCGCCAGAAAUGCUUGUUGAUAUUUGGGAACGCAAUAAGGAAUUGAUCCGCAAGCGCACGGAUAUCGGUGAGCACUUCACCCAGGAGGUUAUCCAGAGUAUCGUAUUUAUUUUUUUUACCACUAGGAGAAAGAGUGCAUCUGACUAACCGGUCUAUUACUACUAACCUUUAGGCAUAAAGAAUGUCUUUCGAUGUGAGUGAUAAAUAGAGAAGACUGCAACCGUAGUCUCCUUCUAACCUUGGUAAGGAUGAUCUACUGUUCUAAUGGGGAGGCUAACGAAAUCUAGACACCACAAAGGAUGUUCGACCCGCACCUAUAAACCCUAUCCUUCCUGCUAACGAGAUGUGAUCUACAAAGGUAGCUCGGAAAUGUCACGUUCCUCGCUACUACCACGGUCCAGCUAGUCAGGGAAUAUCUAUGAGUACCCCAGCCUAAACACCACGUUUACGCCAGCAAUGAUUACUCUAAACUCUACGCGAAGAGAUUAAAGUAAACUCAUAAACCAUAAGAACAAUAAAACA
This 8559-nucleotide long non-coding RNA is filed under the name Sorghum bicolor (sorghum). RNAcentral's name for it is "long non-coding RNA (SBIC_LNC010315)". Lineage: Eukaryota; Viridiplantae; Streptophyta; Magnoliopsida; Poales; Poaceae. The record is from RNAcentral.